ACGGGGCCCGCACAAGCGGAGGAACAUGUGUUUAAUUCGAUGAUACGCGAGGAACCUUACCUGGGCUUAAAUGUAGAGUGCAUUUUUUAGAGAUAGAAAUUCCCUUCGGGCUUUCUGCAAGGUGCUGCAUGGUUGUCGUCAGCUCGUGCCGUGAGGUGUCGGGUUAAGUCCCAUAACGAGCGCAACCCUUAUCGUUAGUUGCCAUCUGGUAAUGCAGGGGACUCUAGCGAAACUGCCACCGUAAGGUGAGAGGAAGGUGGGGAUGACGUCAAAUCAGCACGGCCCUUAUGUCCAGGGCUACACGCGUGUUACAAUGGUCGGUACAGAGGGCAGCUACCUGGUGACAGGAUGCUAAUCUCGAAAACCGGUCUCAGUUCGGAUCGAAGUCUGCAACUCGACUUCAUGAAGUUGGAAUCGCUAGUAAUCGCGGAUCAGCAUGCCGCGGUGAAUACGUUCCCGGGUCUU
RNAcentral lists this ribosomal RNA (465 nucleotides) under uncultured Sphingobacteriales bacterium. RNAcentral describes it as "bacterial SSU rRNA". It matches the Rfam family "Bacterial small subunit ribosomal RNA", at positions 916 to 1381 of the family's 1533-position model. The record is from RNAcentral. Lineage: Bacteria; Pseudomonadati; Bacteroidota; Sphingobacteriia; Sphingobacteriales.